RNAcentral lists this transfer-messenger RNA (390 nucleotides) under Cyanobacteria bacterium QH_9_48_43. It matches the Rfam family "transfer-messenger RNA". Rfam says of the family: Bacterial tmRNA, also known as 10Sa RNA or SsrA, is named for its dual tRNA and mRNA-like properties. Its role is to liberate the mRNA from a stalled ribosome. To accomplish this part of the tmRNA is used as a reading frame that ends in a translation stop signal. RNAcentral also lists the same sequence under 1 other name. Lineage: Bacteria; Bacillati; Cyanobacteriota. The record is from RNAcentral.
GGGGCCGUCCCGGAUUCGACAGGUUGGUGAAAACCGACCCGUGAUGCAGGUCGAGAGUGAGUCUACUCUCGUAAAUUCAGGCUCAACUUCAAAGGUAAGUGCGAAUAAUAUCGUUCCGUUUGCUCGUAAAGCAACACCUGUUGUUGGCUAAAAGCCUCUAGUUAGGCACGAGCGUUCAUAGUCUGACUCCGUUAAGAGCUAUGGACAAAACCCCAACGGAUGCGCACUUUAAUUGCCUCUGGUUGAUUGAGUGCAAAGACUUCACCAGAGAACCCCAUCAUCCGGAAUAAGGAUGAUUCCUGCCCAGAGGAUUAGAUGGGCUAAACCUGUGAAAGAACGGUAGGGAAAUAUCCAGCCUGGACAGCAGUUCAACUCUGCUCGGCUCCACUC